GUAUGGCUGUUCGCCAUUUAAAGUGGUACGCGAGCUGGGUUUAGAACGUCGUGAGACAGUUCGGUCCCUAUCUGCCGUGGGCGUUGGAAGAUUGAAGGGGGCUGCUCCUAGUACGAGAGGACCGGAGUGGACGAACCUCUGGUGUUCGGGUUGUGUCGCCAGACGCAUUGCCCGGUAGCUAAGUUCGGAAUUGAUAAGCGCUGAAAGCAUCUAAGCGCGAAGCGAGCCCUGAGAUGAGUCUUCCCUGACAGUUUAACUGUCCUAAAGGGUUGUUCGAGACUAGAACGUUGAUAGGCAGGGUGUGUAAGCGUUGUGAGGCGUUGAGCUAACCUGUACUAAUUGCCCGUGAGGCUUAACCAUACAACACCCAAGGGGUUUUGUA
Molecule: ribosomal RNA, 382 nt
Filed under: Vibrio cholerae
Lineage: Bacteria; Pseudomonadati; Pseudomonadota; Gammaproteobacteria; Vibrionales; Vibrionaceae
Description: bacterial LSU rRNA
Rfam family: Bacterial large subunit ribosomal RNA
Source: RNAcentral